RNAcentral lists this ribosomal RNA (472 nucleotides) under uncultured bacterium. RNAcentral describes it as "partial 16S ribosomal RNA". It matches the Rfam family "Bacterial small subunit ribosomal RNA", at positions 28 to 507 of the family's 1533-position model. The record is from RNAcentral.
GACGAACGCUGGCGGCGUGCUUAACACAUGCAAGUCGAACGCUGAAGCUUGGUGCUUGCACUGGGUGGAUGAGUGGCGAACGGGUGAGUAAUACGUGAGUAACCUGCCCUUGACUCUGGGAUAAGCCUGGGAAACUGGGUCUAAUACUGGAUACGACAUGUCACCGCAUGGUGGUGUGUGGAAAGGGUUUUACUGGUUUUGGAUGGGCUCACGGCCUAUCAGCUUGUUGGUGGGGUAAUGGCUCACCAAGGCGACGACGGGUAGCCGGCCUGAGAGGGUGACCGGCCACACUGGGACUGAGACACGGCCCAGACUCCUACGGGAGGCAGCAGUGGGGAAUAUUGCACAAUGGGCGAAAGCCUGAUGCAGCAACGCCGCGUGAGGGAUGACGGCCUUCGGGUUGUAAACCUCUUUCAGCACGGAAGAAGCGAAAGUGACGGUACGUGCAGAAGAAGCGCCGGCUAACUACGUG